GUUUCGAUAGCUCAGGGGUAGAGCAAUCGGCUGCAGUCCGAUAGGUCAGGCGUUCAAAUCGCCUUCGAAACU
Molecule: transfer RNA, 72 nt
Organism: Verticillium dahliae VdLs.17
Lineage: Eukaryota; Fungi; Ascomycota; Sordariomycetes; Glomerellales; Plectosphaerellaceae
Rfam family: tRNA
About the family: Transfer RNA (tRNA) molecules are approximately 80 nucleotides in length. Their secondary structure includes four short double-helical elements and three loops (D, anti-codon, and T loops). Further hydrogen bonds mediate the characteristic L-shaped molecular structure. tRNAs have two regions of fundamental functional importance: the anti-codon, which is responsible for specific mRNA codon recognition, and the 3' end, to which the tRNAs corresponding amino acid is attached (by aminoacyl-tRNA synthetases). tRNAs cope with the degeneracy of the genetic code in two manners: having more than one tRNA (with a specific anti-codon) for a particular amino acid; and 'wobble' base-pairing, i.e. permitting non-standard base-pairing at the 3rd anti-codon position.
Source: Rfam